AUGAGCACAUUGAACUUAAAAAAAGAGGGGAAGCAGAACCAAGUCAAGAUGAUAUGGGUCGCCCCUUCUUCUUGCGCCAAAGAUCUUACCAUUUCCGAAGGAACUGGGGCUACAUUUCUUUUCAAUUUCCAUUCAAGAGUUUCUAUCUGUUUCCACGCCCUUUUCUUGAGACCUCGAAACAUGAGGACAAAUUACUUCUCUUAG
RNAcentral lists this ribosomal RNA (204 nucleotides) under Triticum aestivum (bread wheat). Its description in RNAcentral is "partial small subunit ribosomal RNA". Lineage: Eukaryota; Viridiplantae; Streptophyta; Magnoliopsida; Poales; Poaceae. The record is from RNAcentral.